GUGAAUCAUCGAAUUUUUGAACGCAAAUUGCACUCUCUGGUAUUCCGGAGAGUAUGCCUGUUUGAGGGUCAGUUUAAAUAAAAAUCGGUGUGGUUGCUGCCUUUCGUGGUGACGCACCGGAUUUGGGUCGUCUUGCCUUCGGUUAAGUGACCUAAAAUUUUGCAUGAUUUUUUUGAAUGCAUUUAAAUUGUUUUUCGUUUCUUUUGGGUCAUGGA
RNAcentral lists this unclassified non-coding RNA (215 nucleotides) under Glomeraceae sp. RNAcentral describes it as "partial contains 5.8S ribosomal RNA and internal transcribed spacer 2". The stretch from base 1 to 71 matches the Rfam family "5.8S ribosomal RNA", at positions 84 to 154 of the family's 154-position model. Lineage: Eukaryota; Fungi; Glomeromycota; Glomeromycetes; Glomerales; Glomeraceae. The record is from RNAcentral.